GCGCAAGCGUGUCGGGUCUAGGCUGUUAGCAGCGCUGCUGGGUGCCGCGCAGGGUUUUAGGCGCCUGUUGCUCCAAACGCAGGCACUGUGGGAAUCGGGCAAGUCACCUGGGGUAAUGAGAAAUGCAGAAAUCCAAAUCGGACCCUUAAGGGAGGUCCACAGAGAAAGUAACAAAUAAACCUUGUUCUAAGCACUUCGAGACUAUUGUCUAAUUCACAUCUAUGAGGCCUGUAAAGGACACACUUUAUAACCAUUUCACAAACGACGAGAUGGAAGCACAAAGAAUGGUUUGUUCAGAGUCCUCCACGAUGUACUGGUGGUAGGGGUCCUGGGAAUGCUCCCGCCACUUCGACUUCACCGUGCUUACCAGGAUGGCCACCACAAUGAAGGAGAACAUGCCAAUCAUCACCAUGAGGUAGAGGAUGACGUAGUAGAAGUUCUCAGCAUCGACUCUGGCCUGAAGCGCCUGUUCUUCGGCU
Molecule: long non-coding RNA, 479 nt
Organism: Microtus ochrogaster (prairie vole)
Lineage: Eukaryota; Metazoa; Chordata; Mammalia; Rodentia; Cricetidae
Exons: 3
Source: RefSeq, a predicted model, not a curated record